AGUCGUAACAAGGUUUCCGUAGGUGAACCUGCGGAAGGAUCAUUAAAGAGUAAGGGUGCUCAGCGCCCGACCUCCAACCCCUUGUUGUUAAAACUACCUUGUUGCUUUGGCGGGACCGCUCGGUCUCGAGCCGCUGGGGAUUCGUCCCAGGCGAGCGCCCGCCAGAGUUAAACCAAACUCUUGUUAUUAAACCGGUCGUCUGAGUUAAAAUUUUGAAUAAAUCAAAACUUUCAACAACGGAUCUCUUGGUUCUCGCAUCGAUGAAGAACGCAGCGAAAUGCGAUAAGUAAUGUGAAUUGCAGAAUUCAGUGAAUCAUCGAAUCUUUGAACGCACAUUGCGCCCCUUGGUAUUCCGAGGGGCAUGCCUGUUCGAGCGUCAUUACACCACUCAAGCUAUGCUUGGUAUUGGGUGCCGUCCUUAGUUGGGCGCGCCUUAAAGACCUCGGCGAGGCCUCACCGGCUUUAGGCGUAGUAGAAUUUAUUCGAACGUCUGUCAAAGGAGAGGACUUCUGCCGACUGAAACCUUUUAUUUUUCUAGGUUGACCUUGGAUCAGGUAGGGAUACCCGCUGAACUUAAGCAUAUCAAUUAAAAGUCG
Molecule: ribosomal RNA, 596 nt
Filed under: uncultured fungus
Lineage: Eukaryota; Fungi
Description: eukaryotic LSU rRNA
Rfam family: 5.8S ribosomal RNA (bases 226-379)
Source: RNAcentral